UCUAUGCCCUCUCUCUAAUCAAUGACUGGAUUCCAUCCCUACCAACACCCUCUUUUUGUGCCAACAGGAGCAGGGAUGGCCAGUGAAUUUGAACUUCCUGGUAAAGAACUCUGGGGCAGGACUUUGGGUCUCCCUGACCUGAGACAUGGCUACAGACGGAAGAAGCGUUGGCUCUACACCAGCCCAUCCAUCAGCUGAAUAUCAUUAGGUAUCCUCAGCGAUGCCUGUGGAACAGAAGAACCACCCAACCAAGCCUUACCCAAAUUCCUGACCCAUAAAUUGUGGGAUAUAAUAAAAUGGCUAUUGUU
RNAcentral lists this long non-coding RNA (308 nucleotides) under Mustela putorius furo (domestic ferret). RNAcentral describes it as "lncRNA (ENSMPUG00000030350.1)". The record is from RNAcentral. Lineage: Eukaryota; Metazoa; Chordata; Mammalia; Carnivora; Mustelidae.